This 520-nucleotide ribosomal RNA is filed under the name uncultured Glomus. RNAcentral describes it as "SSU rRNA". It matches the Rfam family "Eukaryotic small subunit ribosomal RNA", at positions 569 to 1092 of the family's 1831-position model. The record is from RNAcentral. Lineage: Eukaryota; Fungi; Glomeromycota; Glomeromycetes; Glomerales; Glomeraceae.
AGCAGCCGCGGUAAUUCCAGCUCCAAUAGCGUAUAUUAAAGUUGUUGCAGUUAAAAAGCUCGUAGUUGAAUUUCGGGGUCAGUAGGUCGGUCGUGCCAACGGUAUGAACUGGUCUCACUGAUUCCUCCCUCUUGUAGAACCGUGAUGCCAUUAAUUUGGUGUUGCGGGGAAGCAGGACUGUUACUUUGAAAAAAUUAGAGUGUUUAAAGCAAGCUAACGCUUGAAUACAUUAGCAUGGAAUAAUGAAAUAGGACGUCGAUCUUAUUUUGUUGGUUUCUAGGAUUGACGUAAUGAUUAAUAGGGAUAGUUGGGGGCAUUAGUAUUCAAUUGUCAGAGGUGAAAUUCUUGGAUUUAUUGAAGACUAACUACUACGAAAGCAUUUGCCAAGGAUGUUUUCAUUAAUCAAGAACGAAAGUUAGGGGAUCGAAGACGAUCAGAUACCGUCGUAGUCUUAACCAUAAACUAUGCCGACUAGGGAUCGGAUGAUGUUAAUUUUUAAUGACUCAUUCGGCGCCUUACG